RNAcentral lists this ribosomal RNA (496 nucleotides) under uncultured bacterium. Its description in RNAcentral is "partial 16S ribosomal RNA". It matches the Rfam family "Bacterial small subunit ribosomal RNA", at positions 28 to 507 of the family's 1533-position model. The record is from RNAcentral.
GACGAACGCUGGCGGCGUGCCUAAUACAUGCAAGUUGAGCGCUGAAGGGUGGUACUUGUACCAACUGGAUGAGCAGCGAACGGGUGAGUAACGCGUGGGGAAUCUGCCUUUGAGAGGGGGACAACAUUGGGAAACGAAUGCUAAUACCGCAUAAAAACUUUAAACACAAGGUUUAAGAUUGAAAGAUGCAAUUGCAUCACCCAAAGAAGAUCCCGCUUUGCAUUAGCUAGUUGGUGAGGGAAAGGCCCACCAAGGCAACGCAGCAUAGCCGACCCGAGAGGGGGAUCGCCCACAUUGGAACUGAGCCACGGUCCAGACUCCUACGGCAGGCACCAGUAGGGAAUCUUCCGCAAUGGGCGAAAGCCUGACGGAGCAACGCCGCGUGAGUGAUGAAGGUCUUCGGAUCGUAAAACUCUGUUAUUAGGAAAGACCAAAUGUGUAAGUAACUAUGCACGUCUUGACGGUACCUAAUCAGAAAGCCCCGGCUAACUACGUG